This 497-nucleotide ribosomal RNA is filed under the name uncultured bacterium. RNAcentral's name for it is "partial 16S ribosomal RNA". It matches the Rfam family "Bacterial small subunit ribosomal RNA", at positions 28 to 507 of the family's 1533-position model. The record is from RNAcentral.
GAUGAACGCUGGCGGCGUGCCUAAUACAUGCAAGUCGAGCGAACGGACGAGAAGCUUGCUUCUCUGAUGUUAGCGGCGGACGGGUGAGUAACACGUGGAUAACCUACCUAUAAGACUGGGAUAACUUCGGGAAACCGGAGCUAAUACCGGAUAAUAUUUUGAACCGCAUGGUUCAAAAGUGAAAGACGGUCUUGCUGUCACUUAUAGAUGGAUCCGCGCUGCAUUAGCUAGUUGGUAAGGUAACGGCUUACCAAGGCAACGAUGCAUAGCCGACCUGAGAGGGUGAUCGGCCACACUGGAACUGGGACACGGUCCAGACUCCUACGGGAGGCAGCAGUAGGGAAUCUUCCGCAGUGGGCGAAAGCCUGACGGAGCAACGCCGCGUGAGUGAUGAAGGUCUUCGGAUCGUAAAACUCUGUUAUUAGGGAAGAACAUAUGUGUAAGUAACUGUGCACAUCUUGACGGUACCUAAUCAGAAAGCCACGGCUAACUACGUG